Molecule: ribosomal RNA, 253 nt
Filed under: uncultured beta proteobacterium
Lineage: Bacteria; Pseudomonadati; Pseudomonadota; Betaproteobacteria
Description: partial 16S ribosomal RNA
Rfam family: Bacterial small subunit ribosomal RNA
Source: RNAcentral
UACAGAGGGUGCGAGCGUUAAUCGGAUUUACUGGGCGUAAAGCGUACGUAGGCGGUUUUGUAAGACAGAGGUGAAAUCCCCGGGCUCAACCUGGGAACUGCCUUUGUGACUGCAAGGCUAGAGUACGGCAGAGGGGGGUGGAAUUCCGCGUGUAGCAGUGAAAUGCGUAGAUAUGCGGAGGAACACCGAUGGCGAAGGCAACCCCCUGGGCCUGUACUGACGCUCAUGCACGAAAGCGUGGGGAGCAAACAGG